CCAACUAAAAAUAACAAGAUUAAACUCACUAGGAAUUCGAGUGAAGGACAAUUUAGUCCUUUGGUUCUCUUUUAUCUUUCUUUAGCCAGGAACCUAUAAAAAGUGGACAGAUAAUUUGUCGUUUAUAUAUUAAUUUGUAGAGGAGAACUUCAAAGCGAAAUGUUGAUUGGUGAUGCUAUUUCCACCUCAUAAAUUGAUGUCAUCAUUGGUUACUCGAAAAUGGGAAAAAAAAAAACCAUGAAAAUUAUAACUUUUUUUUCCUUCUAGAUCUAAGGUAUUAUUGGAAACUCCUCCGAAUUUGACAGUUUUAAACCUUUCAGCUCAUAAAAACAUACAUUAGGAUGCUUGUCAAACAUAGAACAACUUCUGUAAGACAAUUUACUGCAACUUUUGUAAGAAAUUGCAGGGUGGGUUAUUCCAACAUUUUAUAUAUAAUUUAUGUACAAAACAUUUUCAUAUCUAAGAAAUAAUCAUUCAAAUAUAUAAAAAUAUAUAUUUUUUAAAAAAGUGAUUUAAAUUAUGAUCUUUUGAGAGUUUAGAUAUUCAUGGAGGAGUCCAUUGAGUAAAUUUCUAGCAAUUUCAGACAAGGUAUAUAUAGGUGUAUGAUCAUCGAAUAUAUAUAUAAAAGAUUUUAGAAAAUUUAAAGAUACCCAUAUUUAUCACUUAAAUAUAUAACAAGAAGGAAAAAAAAAAAAAAAAAAAAAGGGAGAUGAAUAAUGAUUCAUUAAGCAAUUUAUGUAAGAAAACUUAACAGCAAAGAAAUGGAAGGUAGCUUUUGCAUACCUGUGAAGAACUACGCACAAACGAUGAACAGAGAAAUUGAAGGGUAUCUUGUCACAAGGCGACGGCACUAAGCUAAGCUAGGGUGGGGGAAGCAAAUCAUAUAUAAAACCCUCAGUGCCAUCUCUCCUGCGACAAGAUUCCCCCAAUCUCCUCUUUAUUUCCUUUGGAUUUCUAGCUUUCGGUUUAGCUUUUUCUGUGCAUAUUCAUCUCUGCAUUUAUAGGGCUGGAAACAUGGUUAAUUGUCCGGC
RNAcentral lists this long non-coding RNA (1031 nucleotides) under Gossypium raimondii (Peruvian cotton). RNAcentral describes it as "long non-coding RNA (GRAI_LNC004362)". The record is from RNAcentral. Lineage: Eukaryota; Viridiplantae; Streptophyta; Magnoliopsida; Malvales; Malvaceae.